GAACAACAUCCUGGUGUUCAGAGUGGAAUAGUGUGUACAUUUGCUGCUGGGUCGGGACAACGAUGCUGAGGAUGUGGGGGACAAGCAUGACGCAGAAGGAGAGCACCAGCAUUAAUAUCGAGUUGGCCAAGCAACAGCACCAGUCUGGCCUGCAGGAGCCCCAAUACAGAACCAUCCUCUACCCUCCCCUGAUCCCUAGCUCCUCCCACUGGACCUCCGGCCUCAAAGGGUCAGCAUCGUUACACAAGUCUGUGCAAUAAAUCCUCAGCACGUCAAGUUUUCACGCGCUGUUAUGAACAACCGAAAUAUCCGUGUCGAGAUUUCCCCAAGCAAGCCCGAGUAGUUUUGUUUAGCUCUAGUGCCAGAGUGGGAUGAGUGUUACAGAAGCGAGACGUUAUAGCAGUACUUAUGGUAACGCUAACAGUUAACGCUAACAGUUAGUUCCUGCUGUGUACAUCACGAAGAAUCUCAUGAAGAAUUAAACGUUGAAUAAUUUGUUUAAUUCUUUAUAAGACAGCUAUAUAUUCAGCAAGGAACGAGAGAAAAAAAGGAACAAUUGAAAUGAUUCAUUCAGAAGUAUAUCUGCUGUAGAUAGUUAGGACAGUAGUAGCGUUACAGACUGUCCUCAGCGCACAAUAUAUUCAUGUGGUGCACCACAGACCAAAUUCCCCCCAUUAUUGAAAACAAGUUGCUAAAAGUAAACACGUCCGGUUUUGCACUCCGAGCCCAAAGGGCAUUGCAUUGAAUUGAGACUAAAGAAGGCUUAAAAACAUGACACCAGUUUUGUUGUAUGCUCCAGUACACCCUUCGACUCUCAGCCCGAAGUUAAUCAGAACUCAAACUCGGCCCUUAACAAUAUCCGCGAGGCCAGCAUAUCAGCUCAGCUUCUGAGCUUCAGGUGAGACCUUACAGUGUUAGUAACUUUGUCAAAGAUUGGGCUUAAAUUCAGCCCCAUUCCUCAAAAACUAUAUCAAAGUCACUAUAUCAAAGGUCAAGGUCACAGUGACCCGAAAUAGUUAAAUGGUUUCCGGAUGAUAACUCAAGAACGCUUAUGCCUAGGAUCAUGAAACUUCAUAGGUACACUAUUCAUGACUGGCAGAUGACCCCUUUUGAUUUUCAGGUCACUAGGUCAAAGGUCAAGGGCACAGUGACAAAAAACAUAUUCACACAAUGGCUGUCACUCCAACGGAGAGCCCAUUUGGGGGAAAUGCAUGUUUUACAAACAGCCCUUGUUUUAUAAAUAUUUACUGGUUAAAAUUUACAAUGCAUUAUUUGCCAAAAAAAGUGUUUGAUAGGUUGCAACAAUGAGUUACUUGCCUAAUUAAGCUGUAUAAGUUGAAACUUAGUACAAUCAAAAUACAAAUCAAAAAUUAUAAAUUGUUAAGUAUUUGUGUUCACGUAUAACUGAUUAUGAUUUUUAUUUAAAUUAGAAACCGGAUUAGAAAUUUUGGAGGCAAAACACUGCGCACUAUACAUGGAAACCUACGGUAAUUCUCACAUUUAAAGUUGUAAAGUUUUGCAAUGAAAGUUGUUUUAGUCAAAACUAUUAAGGGGGAGAGUCUCGCACUUAAAAUUACUGAAGUCAUGCCUGUUUUUUUAAAUUUAUUUUUAUGCCCCCGGUAGGGUUGCAAAAUAGCAGUUGAACUGUCUGUCAGUCCGUCCGUCUGAAAACUUUAACAUAGGCCAUUACUUUUGCAAUAUUAAAAAUCAAAAUUUGAUAUUUGGCAUGCAUGUGUAUUUCAUGGAGUUGCAAAAUUUAAGUGGUGAAAGGUCAAAGUCAUCCUGAACAUAAAAGGUAAAAACAAACAAAUCCAAUGGAAGUAACACGCUUAAAAGGGAAAGAGAAUUUAUAUUUAUCAUUUGGCAGGUACAGAUCAUUUUUACAUGGGAAGUAAUAUUUGUAAAGGGGUGUAAUCAAAAACAAAAAUAUAUAAUCAAAUCGGCGCAGUAGGGGCAUUGUGUUUCUAACAAACACAUCUCUUGUUAAAAAAAGUAUUACACAUUGCUAUGAAAAAAUUUCUAUUUUCUUUUCAGCAAACACUAUAAGCCGCCAAGAUAAAAACAUCGUUGAAGUGAAAGUCUAUGACAAUCCUGACCCCUUCGCUUAUGUAAUUCAGCACAAAAACGUCUUGCGUCAGAGUAGCAAGUCCCCAAACAUCUUCUCCCAUGUUGGCCACAUCAACACUUCUUUCAGCGGAGCCUUGGCGAGUUCGACUUCCAUUUCAGCAUCGAUGUUGCUUAGCAACAAUUCAAUGCUGGGAAUCGACAAAUUGUUCCAGACGAGUCGCUUACACAGAAACUAUCUGAUCCAACAGAUAAAGCAGGUGUUGCAUGACUUGUCCCUUAUUGCGACUGACCUCGAUAAGUUGCUCUUGAAUAAUGUAAACCUUAUGCCAGUAUGCGAUUUACACCAUUUAACAACAGUUGUUGUUGAGAAUUCCCGGGUUUGAGGUGGCAACUUUUGCGUCGGGACUCGCUCCAUCUCUGUCUAUGGCCUGGUCAGAGCAGUAGCAGCAACAAGAACAACAAGUAGUAUCUGAGCGGUGCUCUGGGAUAUGGGGCUUCAUGUAUGUGCUUAAAGUGUCAUCCCAGAAUAUCCUGUGCAGAUUGCACAUACAUUAAGCCCUAUUAAAGUGUCAUCCCAGAUAAGCCUGUGCAGACUGCACAUACAUCAAGUCCUAUUAAAGUGUCAUCCCAGAUUAGCCUGUGCAGACUGCACAUACAUUAAGUCCUAUUAAAGUGUCAUCCCAGAUUAGCCUGUGCAGACUGCACAUACAUUAAGCCCUAUUAAAGUGUCAUCCCAGAUAAGCCUGUGCAGACUGCACAUACAUCAAGUCCUAUUAAAGUGUCAUCCCAGAUUAGCCUGUGCAGACUGCACAUAAAUAAAGUCCUAUUAAAGUGUCAUCCCAGAUUAGCCUGUGCAGACUGCACAUACAUUAAGUCCUAUUAAAGUGUCAUCCCAGAUUAGCCUGUGCAGACUGCACAUACAUUAAGUCCUAUUAAAGUGUCAUCCCAGAUUAGCCUGUGCAGACUGCACAUACAUCAAGUCCUAUUAAAGUGUCAUCCCAGAUUAGCCUGUGCAGACUGCACAUACAUCAAGUCCUAUUUAUCUGAGAAUUAGGCUCAUAUAGUUCACUUAACGUCAGUCCUUUUUCUGCCUGAUUGAGGAAAAGUUCCUAGCAUAAAAUGUGAAUUCUCUGAUUUUGAAUUUAUCAAACUUGGUAAAUAAAAAGCAAAUAAAAGUUAAUCUGAUAUCAGUUUUAAUCAAAGGUCAGGGCAUAGUUGUGUCUAUUUUACUGCUGAAAUUUAGCCCUUGAACAACAGUUUCUCCUUGCAAUAAAAAAAAUCCACUUUAAUUAUUAAAUUCUAUUAAAUUUAAGUAAAACAAUUAUUUAAUGCCUUCAGCACAUUAUAAAAUUAUUAUCUUCAUUUAUUUUCAAUAUUUAUUUAAAUUGCCAAAUUUUGUUUUAAGAGCUAGUUCCUAGCAAUCAUAGAUCAGUACCCUGCUGAAAAACAGGAUCCCUGGUCAGCUGGGUCCCAGAUGCCCAGCAACACUUCCUGGCCCAGGACCUUGGGGCAAAUGCUCAACAUGUCCUAUCUGCAUGGUGAAGCUAGUCUUAUUCUUGGGCUCCAAACUCUCCUGCUGUGGGGCCAAGAUUACCUCAUCCAUAAGAGGCCUUAUACUCACAAGUUCAGGCCCAGAGAACGGUGUUCCCGAACUACAACACAACCAGUACGUCUCAAUAGAGGACACCCUUCCUGAAAACCUCGCUGAGUGCGACUGCGCCAUACGUGACCCUUCAGUGAAAUGAGAUUCCAGGUGGAAUGUCAAACAGGUCAAGGGUCACCCUGCAAUGUUCAGUGCCAAGCGAUGAAAUCAUCCACCGUUACAUGUAGUUGGUUGAGGGUCACCCAAAACCACCCGGUGCCUUGCGAUGAAAACCUCCAACGGGACUGUGACCUUGCCCUUGUACUCACCUAAUGGUCAGGUAUAAGGUCACUUGGGCUUAGAUAGUCACUGCAGUAAGAACAUAUGACUUCACAAUAGGACAUCCGAGACUGCAAUGACGAAAUGAGUGUCCUCACUUCAGCAGUGGAGGCCAAUACACAAUACGAGAGUUUCCAGCGGCUUACCUUAUCUGAAAACCUGGGUGGCAGAGCAAUGAGUAUGUCCCAGGAGUAUUUGCAGUCAUCUCCAGAUUCUGAGAUCCCCAUGCUCCACAACCCUCAGUCUAUGAACAUCAUGCAGAGCAGACCUUGGACGUCCCUUGACGAAAUCAAACCAGCAAAUCAGAAGGACAGCCUGUUGCUACUGUUGUUAUCAUAUUAACCCCAUACCGAAGAAGCUCAGAGAUAUAAAUGCUGUUUAAGAUGUGCUAGUCUCUACAUACCCCGUGUCUGGUGUGAACAUGUACAAUUGAAUGUCUCUACAUACCCCAUGUCUGGUGUGAACAUGUACAAUUGAAGACCUCUACAUACGUCAUGUCUGGUGUGAACAUGUACAAUUGAAGGUCUCUACAUACUCCAUGUCUGGUGUGAACAUGUACAAUUGAAGGUCUCUACAUACUCCAUGUCUGGUGUGAACAUGUACAACUGAAGGUCUCUACAUACUCCAUGUCUGGUGUGAACAUGUACAAUUGAAGGUCUCUACAUACCCCAUGUCUGGUGUGAACAUGUCUCAUCUUUGAAAUUGGAAAAUUAGUGACUUGAUUCAGACAGAAAUCGCAUAAUGACAAAUCACAACAAAAAAUGGAAAGCCAGAAAGUCUUGUGGCCAGCAAUGUUUUUAUGUGACCAUCCAAGUUGUGUUCAAAGAAAAACAAUAGUUCAUGUUUUAUUGGAACUAUGAUGCUGUCAGUCAUUUUAUGUUGAAGGCUUUAAAUAACUAUAUUUAAAUAUAAUAAGAUUAAGAUUACUUGAUCAAAGAAAUAAUGUAAAAUAGUAUUUUAAGCGCAAAAUUUACAAGUCCAUCCAAUUACUGUGUCUGUUUUUUGACAUUUUAUUUUGAAAAUGUUAAGGAAAAUAUAAUGUAAGUAAAUAUAUGUCUAUGAAUGUUGAUUUUAACAUUUGUCAAAGCUGUUUAAAUGAUGCUGGUAACUUUGACAAAAUUUAAAGAAAUGUAUUAUUUUCAUGUAAUGAGACAUGCUUCAGUUUUUGUGUGGCUUAACCUGUAAUAUAGAGGUGGUAGUUACAAGAAUUGUUUAGCCAGAUGGAGAACGUUUAUGCUAUGGCUUUGAUACUCUUAAGUGUGCCCAUUGGUGUCAGGUUUUUAUCAAGAAUAUUGUUUAUUGUCUUACUAUUUCUUGAAAAUAUUGAUUAAUUUUAGACAAAAUCAUUUUAUCUUCCUUAAAUUGUCUAUUCUGUAGUAAAGACCAGUUAUUUAUUAAUUUGCAUAAAUAUGAUUUAAGAAUGACCUCUGUGUUGCUUAAAAUGCUUUAUUUGUUUUGAAACUUAGUACUUAAAAACGAAAAUAUGAGGUGUAGGAAUAAUGGCCAAAGUUAUGAUAAUUAUUUUUUUGUUUUUGUAAAGUUUAUUAUGCUUUAUAUGUUUGUGUAUAGGCAUUUAGAGGAACAGAUUAACUUGACCAAUAAUUCG
Molecule: RNA transcript, 5594 nt
Organism: Dreissena polymorpha
Lineage: Eukaryota; Metazoa; Mollusca; Bivalvia; Myida; Dreissenidae
Exons: 11
Source: RefSeq, a predicted model, not a curated record